Pelobates cultripes (western spadefoot toad) is the source of this 236-nucleotide non-coding RNA. The record is from the annotation of a GenBank genome assembly. Lineage: Eukaryota; Metazoa; Chordata; Amphibia; Anura; Pelobatidae.
ACCUCGUCCAAGGCAUUGAACUAUUUCACCCUUUUUGGCAGCAGAGAGAUCCUUUUUCUUCCCCAUAUUGCAUGAAAAUGGUGCUGUGCUUAAUAAUGUGGAACACCCUCCUUUAGUAGUUUUCCUUAAAUUGGGCUCACCUGGCAAUGUAAUUAUCACAGGUGGCAGAGAUCGUUUUCAGUGAUCAAAUGAGCCCUGAGACACCAUGCCAUCCAUGAGUUUAACUGGAAAACAAA